GGGGGUGUACCUGCGGAAGGAUCAUUA
Molecule: ribosomal RNA, 27 nt
Filed under: Phyllosticta capitalensis
Lineage: Eukaryota; Fungi; Ascomycota; Dothideomycetes; Botryosphaeriales; Phyllostictaceae
Description: partial 18S ribosomal RNA
Source: RNAcentral